Molecule: ribosomal RNA, 301 nt
Filed under: uncultured bacterium
Lineage: Bacteria
Description: partial 16S ribosomal RNA
Rfam family: Bacterial small subunit ribosomal RNA
Source: RNAcentral
CAGUAGCCGCGGGAAUACGGAGGGUGCAAGCGUUAAUCGGAAUUACUGGGCGUAAAGCGCACGCAGGCGGUCUGACAAGUCAGAUGUGAAAUCCCUGAGCUUAACUUAGGAAUUGCAUUCGAUACUGGGAAGCUAGAGUAUGGGAGAGGAUGGUAGAAUUCCAGGUGUAGCGGUGAAAUGCGUAGAGAUCUGGAGGAAUACCGAUGGCGAAGGCAGCCAUCUGGCCUAAUACUGACGCUGAGGUACGAAAGCAUGGGGAGCAAACAGGAUUAGAUACCCCUGUAGUCCCUGUCUCUUAUAC